ACAACUCUAACGGUGGAUCUCUUGG
Molecule: ribosomal RNA, 25 nt
Filed under: Cyanea nozakii
Lineage: Eukaryota; Metazoa; Cnidaria; Scyphozoa; Semaeostomeae; Cyaneidae
Description: partial 5.8S rRNA
Source: RNAcentral